Long non-coding RNA from Bos taurus (domestic cattle), 1270 nucleotides. The record is from Ensembl. Lineage: Eukaryota; Metazoa; Chordata; Mammalia; Artiodactyla; Bovidae.
AUUUUUCCACUUGCUCGAAAAUGUUUAUUAAGCACAAGCUGUGUCAAAUGUGAAGGCUUUAAAAACUGCAGGGUUCAUUUUCUUUCCUCUGAGAGCCCACAUCGCUUUAUGAGACAGAGUUAAGCUAACAAUUAUGAUGCAGGGUGGUAGGCACUAUCAGGAUGGAUCAGAGAGAACAAAGACAGGAAAGGUGGGAACAAAGAACAAAGACGGCAACACUAUCUUCUUGGAGGUUAAAUUCUUUGAAAAUUACUGACAUCUGGGCUGAUUCAAGUAUAGUUUUGAAGUUGAGAAAGCUUGUCUUUCAGGGUUUUUCCAAGGUGAGUGUUUCUGAAAUCCUCAAUUGGAAAAUUAGUAACUUCUGUAUAAAGGUGUCACAGGUACAGUUCAUUAAAUGAAAUGAUUCCACCAAUUCUGUAGAUUCCAUGCCCUUUCUCUGUGAUAAAAUUUCUCUACAGUCUGUUGUUCCCUAAUCCAUUGGGUCUCUUAUAAGCCAUAGUGGUUCAAGAACGCAUAUGUCUGAGGACAGACUUCCUUGGUCGGUUCUCUCCAAGGUCCUACACCUGACUCUGAAGUCUGAGAGUAACGGCGUUAUAGUCAGUUACCUGAUGAAUAGACGUGAUGUUUGCCACUUCUGGAUGAAGCCUUUCGAAGAAUAAGAAUUCUUCCUCCAUUCUCUGUUCGACUGGCUGGAUGCAGAUGAUAAGAAGGCCACAGAGAAGCCACAGGAUGGAAGGAACUUUGGUUCCUGAAUCAGUGCAUGUAGAAAAGCUGCCUGCUGACCUGAACAGCUGUUCUGAACUGUUAUAUAAACAAGAAAUAAACUUCUGUUGUAUUUAAGCCACUACAUAUUUGCAUCUGUUUGAUUCAGCAGUUUAUUUAGCCUACCCAAAGUAAUACAGAUGCCAUUAGAAUUUUAAUCUCAAAUACUUAAAUUAUUUAUUAUAUGUUUACAACCCUUAUGUGGUAAGCAGGGCAGGCACCUAUUUUAUAGGCAAAACAGUGAGGAAUAUGGAGAUUCAUAAAUUCUUUCAACAAAUACUUAUUGACCAUUAGGGAAAUUUGUUGCAAACAAUUUAUUAAAUCAUUAUUUUAUGAGAGCAUUCAUUCUUUCAUUCAUUUUAUAAAUAUUUACUCAGGGCUUUCAAUGUGUCCUUCAGGAGCUCACAGUCUAGUAUAAAAGACAAAUACUAAAUUUAAAAAUUAAGGACAUAAAUUGCUACAGUGUUUAGUACUCAUGAGAAUAAUGUGUAUCAGGAAAGCAUAUAAU